This 279-nucleotide long non-coding RNA is filed under the name Setaria viridis. Its description in RNAcentral is "long non-coding RNA (SVIR_LNC005634)". Lineage: Eukaryota; Viridiplantae; Streptophyta; Magnoliopsida; Poales; Poaceae. The record is from RNAcentral.
UCACAUCAAAUUAGAAACGUUGAUUCUAUGGUUGUUGCAACGAUGUUGAUUCUUUAAUGCAACAUAAUUUUUGAAAAAAAGAAAUUGAUGCCAAUAUAUAGACAUAUAUUAUUAAUGACAUCAAUCCAUCAUUCACUCCCAGCAUUCAUGAUACAAAUGAUGCAACAUAAUAUUCAACAUAUGAAAGUAAGAACUUAUCCUUUCAUCCAUCACUCCCAAUACUAAAAUAUCUACAAAACCUAUAUAUUAUUCAUACACAUCUAAAAUAUUGAUCACUCC